RNAcentral lists this unclassified non-coding RNA (214 nucleotides) under Hevea brasiliensis (rubber tree). Lineage: Eukaryota; Viridiplantae; Streptophyta; Magnoliopsida; Malpighiales; Euphorbiaceae. The record is from RNAcentral.
UACAGAUCUCCAAUAAACAAACGAGUUCCACAUGCUACAUGUAACCCACAAUUUCUUCUCGCACCCCAUGGCCACAAAGGCCGGGGGCCAAGGAUUUCUCCAUUAGAAGGCACAAUGCAUUGUGCAACACAUUGGAGCACACCAUCACCAACAACUGGGCCAACAAGUAGAGCCACAUGUCUCUUCAGAUUUGCCUCUUGAACCCCCUCAACCG